CCAAUAGCGUAUAUUAAAGUUGUUGCAGUUAAAAAGCUCGUAGUUGAAUUUCGGGAUCAAGUCGUCGGUCGUGCCUCGGUACGCACUGGUGACAUUGGUUUCUCCCUUCUGAAGAACCUUGAUGUCAUUAAUUUGGUGUCUUGGGGAAUCAGGACUGUUACUUUGAAAAAAUUAGAGUGUUUAAAGCAGGCUCACGCUUGAAUACAUUAGCAUGGAAUAAUGAAAUAGGACGUUUGAUUCUAUUUUGUUGGUUUCUAGGAUCGACGUAAUGAUUAAUAGGGAUAGUUGGGGGCAUUAGUAUUCAAUUGGCAGAGGUGAAAUUCUUGGAUUUAUUGAAGACUAACUACUGCGAAAGCAUUUGCCAAGGAUGUUUUCAUUAAUCAAGAACGAAAGUUAGGGGAUCGAAGACGAUCAGAUACCGUCGUAGUCUUAACCAUAAACUAUGCCGACUAGGGAUCGGAUGAUGUUAAUUUUUUAAUGACUCAUUCGGCGCCUUAC
This 498-nucleotide unclassified non-coding RNA is filed under the name uncultured Glomus. RNAcentral's name for it is "SSU rRNA". It matches the Rfam family "Eukaryotic small subunit ribosomal RNA", at positions 591 to 1091 of the family's 1831-position model. The record is from RNAcentral. Lineage: Eukaryota; Fungi; Glomeromycota; Glomeromycetes; Glomerales; Glomeraceae.